This 72-nucleotide transfer RNA is filed under the name Kumanoa americana. Its description in RNAcentral is "tRNA-Thr". It matches the Rfam family "tRNA". From Rfam's summary of the family: Transfer RNA (tRNA) molecules are approximately 80 nucleotides in length. Their secondary structure includes four short double-helical elements and three loops (D, anti-codon, and T loops). The record is from RNAcentral. Lineage: Eukaryota; Rhodophyta; Florideophyceae; Batrachospermales; Batrachospermaceae.
GCCUUUGUAGCUCAGUGGUAGAGCAUAUCCUUGGUAAGGAUAAGGACAUGAGUUCAAUUCUCAUCAGAGGCU